GGCUCUAUGGUGCAACGGUCAGCACAUCUGACUCUUAUUUGGAAGACCUACGUUCGAUUCGUAGUGGGGCCA
RNAcentral lists this transfer RNA (72 nucleotides) under Pseudocercospora pini-densiflorae CBS 125139. Its description in RNAcentral is "tRNA-Lys (CTT) (tRNA-Lys-CTT-3-1)". It matches the Rfam family "tRNA". Rfam says of the family: Transfer RNA (tRNA) molecules are approximately 80 nucleotides in length. Their secondary structure includes four short double-helical elements and three loops (D, anti-codon, and T loops). Further hydrogen bonds mediate the characteristic L-shaped molecular structure. tRNAs have two regions of fundamental functional importance: the anti-codon, which is responsible for specific mRNA codon recognition, and the 3' end, to which the tRNAs corresponding amino acid is attached (by aminoacyl-tRNA synthetases). tRNAs cope with the degeneracy of the genetic code in two manners: having more than one tRNA (with a specific anti-codon) for a particular amino acid; and 'wobble' base-pairing, i.e. permitting non-standard base-pairing at the 3rd anti-codon position. Lineage: Eukaryota; Fungi; Ascomycota; Dothideomycetes; Mycosphaerellales; Mycosphaerellaceae. The record is from RNAcentral.